This 421-nucleotide unclassified non-coding RNA is filed under the name soil metagenome. RNAcentral describes it as "partial contains 5.8S ribosomal RNA, internal transcribed spacer 2, and large subunit ribosomal RNA". The stretch from base 1 to 120 matches the Rfam family "5.8S ribosomal RNA", at positions 35 to 154 of the family's 154-position model. The record is from RNAcentral.
GAUGAAGAACGCAGUGAAAUGCGAAAAGUAAUGUGAAUUGCAGAAUUCAGUGAAUCAUCGAAUCUUUGAACGCAUAUUGCGCUCUUUGGUAUUCCGAAGAGCAUGCUUGUUUGAGUAUCAGUAAACACCUCAACCUCUUCUUGAUUUUUCAAAAGGAGGGUGGACUUGAGCUAUCCCAACAACCUUUACCGGUCGGCGGGCGGCUUGAAAUGCAGGUGCAGCUGGACUUUUAUCUGAGCUAAAAGCAUAUCUAUUUAGUCCUCGUCAAACAGGAUUAUUACUUUUGCUGCAGCUAACAUAAAGGAUAAUUGUCCUCUUUGCUGACUGAUGCAGGAUUUUACGACACUUUAUGUGUUGUUCAACUCGAUCUCAAAUCAAGUAAGACUACCCGCUGAACUUAAGCAUAUCAAUAAGCGGAGGA